RNAcentral lists this unclassified non-coding RNA (2840 nucleotides) under Daphnia pulex (common water flea). RNAcentral describes it as "uncharacterized LOC124203341, transcript variant X1". Lineage: Eukaryota; Metazoa; Arthropoda; Branchiopoda; Diplostraca; Daphniidae. The record is from RNAcentral.
AAAAGCUUGUUUAUUUUUAUUGAUUUGAAAGCAAAAAACCGCCGAAUACGCAUGCUAUAGCUAUUCACUUUCAUCAGUCGUCGCUAGAUGGAAGGUUAGCAUAUCUGGAGGGCGGAGUGCCGGAGUCACGGCUGUCAUGGCGGAGUGCAAUGUGAGUGCAUGAUGAAGAGCAGAUUUUUUAAUGGCUAUAAUUUUUGUAAUGUAAUUCAUAGAUGGGGAAAGAAACUUCCACUCAAAAGAAAGAAAUGCUGGGUUGAAGUUGAUGAUGCAAAAUUUUCAUGUUUCCAUGUUAGUUAAAAAGCAUUAGCAGAAUAUAAAUCUUUGGCUUGUCACAUCAGCAGAUAAUCCCAAACCCAGGGAAGAAGUCUAGAACAAGUGGCUAAAGCAGACACACUCUUCCAAUGUGUUCAACAGGAUCAGAAGUUAAACUUUCAUCAAUGAUGCCAAGCUUCUAAGGACUUAAAAAAACGGUUUCUCAUUUCACAGUCAUGGUGAUCCCAAAGAAGAUGACCAUUGAAGUUCUAGUUCUCUAUGCAGAGACAAAACGAUAGUUGGCUGAAAACAAUGGAUGUACAUGGCUCAUUUUAUCAUCACUCUGGGUGGUGGACGUGUUAUAAAAUUUUUUCCACAAGAAUGCAGUCAACUAUUAUCAAAUCAAUUGCAAGAUGACCUUCUUUUUACUCCUAUCAUUUGGGGUUUAUUGUGACGCACUGACAGGUGGAUAGUGGCAGCAUAGUUUGAAACAGGGAUCCAUUCUUUCGUAGAGGCUAAAGCAUUUGACAGUAGCUAUCCAAAAAAAUCAUCUUUUGUGUAUUACGUUUCGGAUGGUUUCAAUUCGAACUAGCCCGGCGCAUCAGUGGGCCUUCUCCGACAAACCCAGAUUAAAUCAGAUGAGAUAUCUGGCGGUGACCGUAGAACAGGAUGCAUAUUCGGAAGUCAGCACAUCAAGAAUCGGAAACGUUGGUUCUUCGUUGCCAACGUCAGCCGCCUUAACUGAUCGUUGCUACCUGGACACUUCCCGACUCUUCACUCGCUUCGACGACGACAAAGAAUUUUUCCGGUUCCAAAUUUUAUGGUGCGAAAUUUCGUCGGUGGACCACACAUAUUGAGUCAUCGUUGAUAUGAUGCCUUUGUCUAUAAUAGUGAAGCAGAAGCGAUAACUGGGAGCAGCUGCCGAAUGAUUCUGGAACCACGAACUUACUUUUUAAAACAUUUCUUGUUUACAGCGCUAGAUGGCUAUAUCCUUAGUGAUGGAUCUCCAGUUCAACAGCAACUGUCGAAUGUUCCUGGAACUACGAACUUACUCGUCCGUUUGGUGCUCCGAUUCGCCAAUUAUUUGUUUGGUCGUUUGCAUCGUCACCGACUCCAACAUGACCGCAAUGAACCGAAACUAGGACGCUAUUUUGUUGCCGGGAGUAAUCAAAGAUAUCCUAUCGGUGCUGGAUCGUGGAUCGAAUCAUUCGUUCGGCUGAAGAAUAUCUCGAUUUUCUCGGAUGACCUGGCGCAAAAACUCACAGAUCUCGUCCGGGAUCAACUCGCUUAUUCAAUCCCGCCAUUUUGGGAUCAAAGAAAACUUUUACUCCUGAGCUGAAUUUCGUCCACCAUUCAACAACGGAUGCCACUGCUUCCAGUCAAUCUGCUGGACCGUAUUCCGGCUUAAAAGAUUCAUUUCAGAUUUUGUGAUUGCUUGAAAUUGCCAUGAACUUGUUUGUUUUUGUUUGUUUUCUGCAAUUCUUCUUGUUGUAGAUCGCCUAGACUAGCAUAUCUGAGUAAGUGUCUUAACAGUUUGCGUAUUGGCCUAGCCGAAGGUACUGGAGAAAGUAUGAUUGGCACCGAUCUUGUGCCCAUGGCCAGUUUUAGUGAUGGUAAGUCAGAGAACGUUUCCGUAAUUGUUGUCACAGAAGGAGUGAUUUAUGACUCCGGCUCUUUUAGUUAAAUUCCGUGUCAGAAACAAAAAGGUUUUCCAUUCAGGGUUCCCCAUCUGUCAUACCGGUAACAGCAGUAGUUAACGGCGUACAACGAAUUUUUUAUAUCAAGGAUUUUUCAUUUAAAUGCUACAGUGCAUAAAUGUUAGUAUUUGUUUUUGUAAGAGUUGAUAGGGGAAGUAUUGGGUUAGUACAUGCAUGGUGUUAUUUAUUGAAUAUACAUGGGAAACAUUGGGAGGCAAUAGAGGGGGGGACAUGUGGAAGGAGUAGGAAAAAAGGGGGCCUUUCUUAUCAUAACUAGGCGCCGCAACCAUGACACAGUGGUCCAACAUCCAAUUUGAUAAAUCUCGGGAAUUUCAUCGGAUCCUUUGAAGGGUUGGCUGAGAAUGCUGUGGAAUGUUUCAAUUUAGGCAACACAGGAGGUAGCGUAGCUAUUGGUUAUAGCUCCAAAUUGUCACGAGCUUUGUUUAUGAAUCUGGUCAGAAAAUGGAAGACUAAGAGGGUCGGAAGCAGAAGGUGCAUAGAACUCCGUGGUAUCGUCCAGAAAAAUGUGAAUAUAUUAAAAAAAAAAGUGUUAAGUUAAAAUUUUAUUUUUCAACAUUUUUACAUACAUUACCAUGACUAUUUAUAAUUGCGUAUCUAAGAGGACGUAACAUAGAGUGUUUAAGGAUUGAUCUACAGUAGCGUUGGUAGUUGUAAGGGGUACUCGUGAGGUCGUGACUAUUUCUUUCAGUCUUCAUUAUGCAGUGUUGUGUUGGCAAUGGAGGAGUAUGUUUGUCAGACUUGUGUUUUAGUCAUCCGUGUGGACAAUCGGUUUGACUGAGUGUUUGCUUGUCAAGGUUGUUUUUAGACCCUGAUGCCCUGAACUCUUGCUUUUAUAUGGCAGUAUAAAACUAAACCAAUAAAUGUGUAAUU